GACGGUGGGUGCAAGCGUUGUUCGGAUUGACUGGGCGUAAAGGGCGUGUAGGCGGUUGGUCAAGUCUGAUGUGAAAGCCCGGGGCUCAGCCCCGGAAGGGCAUCGGAAACUAGCCAGCUGGAGCGCGAUAGAGGAGGGUGGAAUUCCUGGUGUAGCGGUGAAAUGCGCAGAUAUCAGGAAGAACACCUAUGGCGAAGGCAGCUCUCUGGGACGGUACUGACGCUGAGACGCGAAAGCGUGGGGAGCGAACAGG
RNAcentral lists this ribosomal RNA (253 nucleotides) under uncultured bacterium. RNAcentral describes it as "partial 16S ribosomal RNA". It matches the Rfam family "Bacterial small subunit ribosomal RNA", at positions 524 to 776 of the family's 1533-position model. The record is from RNAcentral.